GAUGAACGCUGCCAGAAUGCUUAACACAUGCAAGUCUACUUGAACUUCGGUUUGGGUGGCGGACGGGUGAGUAACGCGUAAAGAACUUGCCUCACAGAUAGGGACAACAUUUGGAAACGAAUGCUAAUACCUGAUAUUAUGAUUUUAGGGCAUCCUAGAAUUAUGAAAGCUAUAUGCACUGUGAGAGAGCUUUGCGUCCCAUUAGCUAGUUGGAGAGGUAACGGCUCACCAAGGCGAUGAUGGGUAGCCGGCCUGAGAGGGUGAUCGGCCACAAGGGGACUGAGACACGGCCCUUACUCCUAUGGGAGGCAGCAGUGGGGAAUAUUGGACAAUGGACCAAGAGUCUGAUCCAGCAAUUCUGUGUGCACGAUGAAGUUUUUCGGAAUGUAAAGUGCUUUCAGUUGGGAAGAAAAAAAUGACGGUACCAACAGAAGAAGUGACGGCUAAAUACGUG
This 454-nucleotide ribosomal RNA is filed under the name uncultured bacterium. RNAcentral describes it as "partial 16S ribosomal RNA". It matches the Rfam family "Bacterial small subunit ribosomal RNA", at positions 28 to 507 of the family's 1533-position model. The record is from RNAcentral.